UAGGGAAUCUUCGGCAAUGGGGGCAACCCUGACCGAGCAACGCCGCGUGAGUGAAGAAGGUUUUCGGAUCGUAAAGCUCUGUUGUAAGAGAAGAACGUGUGUGAGAGUGGAAAGUUCACACAGUGACGGUAACUUACCAGAAAGGGACGGCUAACUACGUGCCAGCAGCCGCGGUAAUACGUAGGUCCCGAGCGUUGUCCGGAUUUAUUGGGCGUAAAGCGAGCGCAGGCGGUUUAUUAAGUCUGAAGUUAAAGGCAGUGGCUUAACCAUUGUUCGCUUUGGAAACUGUUAAACUUGAGUGCAGAAGGGGAGAGUGGAAUUCCAUGUGUAGCGGAGAAAUGCGUAGAUAUAUGGAGGAACACCGGUGGCGAAAGCGGCUCUCUGGUCUGUAACUGACGCUGAGGCUCGAAAGCGUGGGGAGCAAACAGG
Molecule: ribosomal RNA, 429 nt
Filed under: bacterium
Lineage: Bacteria
Description: partial 16S ribosomal RNA
Rfam family: Bacterial small subunit ribosomal RNA
Source: RNAcentral